AUGCUCCUAUGUUGUGUUAAGUGUUGGCAGAUAUCUGGACCCCGCCCUAGCGGUCUAGAACUUGAACCCCGGACCUCCCCCUCCCCAUAGAUGUCCGGGGUUUUUUUUGCCUGUAG
RNAcentral lists this small RNA (116 nucleotides) under Pseudomonas moorei. Its description in RNAcentral is "Pseudomon-1 RNA". It matches the Rfam family "Pseudomon-1/ErsA RNA". From Rfam's summary of the family: Functions to regulate the AlgC enzyme. Based on this information, the new name ErsA for the RNA was adopted. The record is from RNAcentral. Lineage: Bacteria; Pseudomonadati; Pseudomonadota; Gammaproteobacteria; Pseudomonadales; Pseudomonadaceae.